CCCGGCAGUGGUUUAGCUGAGGGCCAUGAAAGGCAAAUUUCAGACGGUGUUAUGAAUUAUUGCGCCUUAUGAACCUUCCUACUCUCAACAGAUGCCUGCUGCCAUUUAAACAGCCACUAGAUCAAUUAGGAAUGAAAGGCACAAAUCGACUCAGUACAAGGGCACUAAAUUACCAGGAACUAAUAAUCCGCAGCAUCGUGCCAUGUGGUGGGGGUACAGCCCCCGCCCCGACCUGCUGCAGCGGAAUGGUCACCACACGUCCCUCUCUUGCUGGCUGGAGGGAGGGCAGGCAGCUCCUGAGUGGAAAGGUCUCUCCCACUGCUCAGGUCUCUUCUAUGUGGAAACCAGAAGCAAGAAUGUGGAGACUCAGUCCCCUGUGCCCAGAAGAGGACGAACAAGAUGUGAGAGAUGCCCACUGGACUUGACUUCCAAAGAGCUAAGGGCAUUUGACCUCCACGCGAGCAGCUUACCUCUCCUUCCGGGUCCCUUCCCUGCCCUGGUCCCCCCAGGCUUCCUCUCCCGUGACCGCCCCCUCCACCCCAAUCUCUCUUAAGCCGUUCAAAAUUUGGAGGAAAUAAAUCUCACUGCACUAA
Cavia porcellus (domestic guinea pig) is the source of this 593-nucleotide long non-coding RNA. RefSeq lists it as uncharacterized. NCBI's taxonomy places the organism in Eukaryota, Metazoa, Chordata, Mammalia, Rodentia, Caviidae. The transcript is spliced from 2 exons. The record is from RefSeq and is a predicted model, not a curated record.